CAUAUAUACAUAUAUUAUAUCUAUGUAUUUUUGUUAUAUAGAAAAUUAAUUGUUGUGAUUAAAGAGUUGAGUGACAAAAAAAAAGAAGUAGAAGAAAUGGAUAAAAGCCUUAAAAAAUAUAAUAGUGAUAUACAAGAAAUGAAAUCCAUAAUUAAUAAAAGUGACAACGAUUUAAAGGAACAAGCCCUAAUAAUUGAUAAUUUUACUGGGUUAAACAAAAGCUUAAAAGAUGAGUUAAAUAGUGCCACUAAAAAUUUAGAAAUAUCUAAAAGAUAUAUUAUGAAUUAUGAAAAAAAUGAAGAAGAGAUGAAAAAUAGAAUAAUGAAGUUAGAAAAAGAACUAUAUGAAAAAAACGAAGAAUGCGAAAUAAAAACCCAAAAAUUAAUGCUUAAAGAAAAGGUUACAAUUUUCAUCGAUUUACAUUUUAUAUACUCAUAUUUAAAUUUACAUAAAAUGUAUAUAUAAUAAACCACAAACGUGUAUGUUUAAUGACUGUUUUUAAAAUAUAAUUUUUUUUAUUUUUUUUUAUUUUAGGAAUUAUCCGAUAAAGAGAUACAACUAAAAAAAAUAGCAUCAGUUAUCAUUAGUUAACAAUAUAUAUAACAUAUUUUUCUCUUAAAUAUUUAAAUUGUAUUUUUGUAUGUAACUUAAAUGCGAUUUUUUUUUUUUUUNNNNNNNNNNAAAAAAAAAAAAAAAUAUAAACACAACAAAUUUUAAAUAAAAAAAAUAGUAAAAUAUAUAAAACA
Molecule: long non-coding RNA, 746 nt
Filed under: Piliocolobus tephrosceles (Ugandan red Colobus)
Lineage: Eukaryota; Metazoa; Chordata; Mammalia; Primates; Cercopithecidae
Description: lncRNA (ENSPTEG00000002683.1)
Source: RNAcentral